This 1125-nucleotide long non-coding RNA is filed under the name Phoenix dactylifera (date palm). RNAcentral describes it as "long non-coding RNA (PDAC_LNC015807)". The record is from RNAcentral. Lineage: Eukaryota; Viridiplantae; Streptophyta; Magnoliopsida; Arecales; Arecaceae.
GAAUUGCCAACAAUAGAAAAACUCACUAGUGAAAUUAUAUAGCUAUCUCCAGAUUAUUCAGAGAAUCAACAACACUUUUCUCCAUUAGAAAUCUAAGUCAAAUCUUCUAAUAAUUCUCCUUAUCAAUACAACUUUAUCAGUAGAUCUUAUCAAAAGAGUAAGGUCCAUUACUUCGACAUUUAGUUCUUUUAAUAGGUGAUCUAAUUCAAACUUCUUUUUUAUUUAUUUAUUUUGGUGCCAGAACAUCAUUAAUAUUCAUUUAAUUGAUUAUCACAAGAUCAUAAACUACUGCACUUUAUCCAUUGUAGAACAUUUGAGCCUAAAAUAUUAUUCAACAUUGAAAAUUAUUCUCAGAAUUUACUAAAUGACUUCCAAUCAAAAUAUUAAUCUUGCAUUAUAAUUUGCAAAGAUCUAAUAUUUCACUUUCCAAGUAAACAAAGGGGAAACUCUUAAUUCUCAUUCUCAGAUAUAUUUUCUUUUUAUAUAAUAGUUUCAUGCAUAAUUGUCAUACAAAUUUCAUCCUCGAAGAAUAUAAAAUCUUUCCUUGUCCAAGCCUUAAACAACUUAUGAAUGAACCCUAUCUUGCCAUCAAAAUAAUUAACUUCAAACUAGAAGUAUUAUCCACAGAACUCAGUAUCAAGUUAAACUUCCAAAAUUACCUAUAUAUUGAUACACAAGUAAUCACAAUGUACUUUAACAUUCCAUGGCUAGUACUCCACUUAAUAUCAGUCAAAAUCUAAUUUAAUCAUAAUCCAAAAAAUACAAAUUACUCCAUCGAGAAAUCUCCAAAAUAAUUUAUUCUUAUUUUGGCAUGGCUUGCUAGCAUGCUGAUUCAAAAUACCAAAAUCCUUAGUAGUCUUAAAUCUUGGAUUCUAAUACCAUACCUGUCAUAAUCAUGCUCCUAGAAUAAUUUUAUAUUAGCCUUAACUUCUUUCUUUUUGUUGCUCAUUGUCACCUAUCAAAAUAUUUGUGCCAAGCAGUUUUCGUGACUGACCGAUGAUGCGACCAAUAAAAUCUUUUCUUUCCUUUCAGUUAUGCGGAAUCUCACUAAAUGAGACUUAACUACCCAUUCCCUUAUUAAAACUUGAAAUUUUUACUCAUGGUUAACCUAUUGCUCUGAUACCA